GGAAUGAGCGGCGGACGGGUGAGUAACACGUAAAGAACCUGCCCUCAGGUCUGGGAUAACCACGAGAAAUCGGGGCUAAUACCGGAUGGGUCAUCGGACCGCAUGGUCCGAGGAUGAAAGGCGCUUCGGCGUCGCCUGGGGAUGGCUUUGCGGUGCAUUAGCUAGUUGGUGGGGUAAAGGCCCACCAAGGCGACGAUGCAUAGCCGACCUGAGAGGGUGAUCGGCCACACUGGGACUGAGACACGGCCCAGACUCCUACGGGAGGCAGCAGUAGGGAAUCUUCCACAAUGGACGAAAGUCUGAUGGAGCAACGCCGCGUGAACGAUGAAGGCCUUCGGGUCGUAAAGUUCUGUUGUAAGGGAAGAACAAGUGCCGCAGGCAAUG
RNAcentral lists this ribosomal RNA (384 nucleotides) under uncultured bacterium. RNAcentral describes it as "bacterial SSU rRNA". It matches the Rfam family "Bacterial small subunit ribosomal RNA", at positions 88 to 471 of the family's 1533-position model. The record is from RNAcentral.